GGAUUAGAUACCCUGGUAGUCCUAGCAGUAAACGAUGGGCACUAGGUGUUGGGGGAGUCGACCCCCUCAGUGCCGAAGCAAACGCAUUAAGUGCCCCGCCUGGGGAGUACGACCGCAAGGUUGAAACUCAAAGGAAUUGACGGGGGCCCGCACAAGCAGUGGAGCAUGUGGUUUAAUUCGACGCAACGCGAAGAACCUUACCUGGGCUUGAAAUGUACAGGAAAACCUCAGAGAUGAGGUCCCUCCGCAAGGAGUCUGUUCACAGGUGCUGCAUGGCUGUCGUCAGCUCGUGCUG
This 295-nucleotide ribosomal RNA is filed under the name uncultured bacterium. RNAcentral describes it as "partial 16S ribosomal RNA". It matches the Rfam family "Bacterial small subunit ribosomal RNA", at positions 775 to 1067 of the family's 1533-position model. The record is from RNAcentral.